This 935-nucleotide ribosomal RNA is filed under the name uncultured bacterium. Its description in RNAcentral is "bacterial SSU rRNA". It matches the Rfam family "Bacterial small subunit ribosomal RNA", at positions 74 to 988 of the family's 1533-position model. The record is from RNAcentral.
CUGUAGCAAUACAGGUAGUAAAGUGGCGCACGGGUGAGUAAUAUGUGAGUAACCUGUCUUCAAGUGGGGAACAACACUGCGAAAGUGGUGCUAAUACCCCAUAUUUUCGCAAGGCCAAAGCCGAGCGAUGAAAGGCGGCGACCUUCGGGGCUGUCGCUUGUUGAGGGGCUCACACCCCAUUAGCUAGUUGGUGAGGGUAACGGCCCACCAAGGCGAUGAUGGGUAGCUGGUCUGAGAGGACGGCCAGCCACACUGGCACUGAAACACGGGCCAGACUCCUACGGGAGGCAGCAGUGGGGAAUAUUGGACAAUGGGCGGAAGCCUGAUCCAGCCAUGCCGCGUGUGUGAAGAAGGCCUUUUGGUUGUAAAGCACUUUAAGCGAGGAGGAGGCUACUUAGAUUAAUACUCUAGGAUAGUGGACGUUACUCGCAGAAUAAGCACCGGCUAACUCUGUGCCAGCAGCCGCGGUAAUACAGAGGGUGCGAGCGUUAAUCGGAUUUACUGGGCGUAAAGCGUGCGUAGGCGGCUGAUUAAGUCGGAUGUGAAAUCCCUGAGCUUAACUUAGGAAUUGCAUUCGAUACUGGUCAGCUAGAGUAUGGGAGAGGAUGGUAGAAUUCCAGGUGUAGCGGUGAAAUGCGUAGAGAUCUGGAGGAAUACCGAUGGCGAAGGCAGCCAUCUGGCCUAAUACUGACGCUGAGGUACGAAAGCAUGGGGAGCAAACAGGAUUAGAUACCCUGGUAGUCCAUGCCGUAAACGAUGUCUACUAGCCGUUGGGGCCUUUGAGGCUUUAGUGGCGCAGCUAACGCGAUAAGUAGACCGCCUGGGGAGUACGGUCGCAAGACUAAAACUCAAAUGAAUUGACGGGGGCCCGCACAAGCGGUGGAGCAUGUGGUUUAAUUCGAAGCAACGCGAAGACCUUACCAGGUCUUGACAUC